GGAGGACAGGUGCUGCAUGGCUGUCGUCAGCUCGUGUCGUGAGAUGUUGGGUUAAGUCCCGCAACGAGCGCAACCCUUGCCCUUAGUUGCCAGCAGUUCGGCUGGGCACUCUAAAGGGACUGCCGGUGUUAAACCGGAGGAAGUGGGGAUGACGUCAAGUCCUCAUGGCCUUUAUGACCAGGGCUACACACGUACUACAAUGGCCGAUACAAAGGGCAGCGACACUGCGAGGUGAAGCCAAUCCCGUAAAAUCGGUCUCAGUCCGGAUUGGAGUCUGCAACUCGACUCCAUGAAGUUGGAAUCGCUAGUAAUCGUGGAUCAGCAUGCCACGGUGAAUACGUUCCCGGGCCUU
RNAcentral lists this ribosomal RNA (352 nucleotides) under uncultured Desulfobulbus sp. RNAcentral's name for it is "bacterial SSU rRNA". It matches the Rfam family "Bacterial small subunit ribosomal RNA", at positions 1029 to 1382 of the family's 1533-position model. Lineage: Bacteria; Pseudomonadati; Thermodesulfobacteriota; Desulfobulbia; Desulfobulbales; Desulfobulbaceae. The record is from RNAcentral.